Cajanus cajan (pigeon pea) is the source of this 723-nucleotide non-coding RNA. NCBI's taxonomy places the organism in Eukaryota, Viridiplantae, Streptophyta, Magnoliopsida, Fabales, Fabaceae. The record is from RefSeq and is a predicted model, not a curated record.
UGGUGUUCUUCUUAGCUUGUCUCUUCCUGUGUUGUAUGACAAGUACCAGGACCAAAUUGAUGACCGGCUAUGUGUGGUACAUGGGAUUAUUCAUAAACAGCAUCAAAAAAUUCGUAGUAUUGUUUUAAGCAAGAUUCCAAAACUCUCAAGCAAAGAAAAGAAGGUUCAGUAAGAACACGGGAGCAAAUGGAUAAGUGAAGUCUAGUUAGGAGUGUGCAAUGAAGUGCUUGUGGUUUUCUUUUUUGCUGGGAUGCUAUUGCUCCGUUGAUUGAUGGUUUGACGGUAUGUUAAUUCUUCAGAAUCAGGAUUGACCAAUAGCUUUGACGUAGGUGCUUAUUCUCUUCUGAUUUUCUAUCUAUCAUCCCUUGGAAGAUACUUUAUAUGAACUUUUAUCAAUGGGUAUAUUACCCUUGUUAAAUUUCACUUUGGACAAGUUUAUCAGAGAGCAGAAAAAAUAGAAAAGAAAAGACCUGACAUGGUUUUUGGCGACGAAAAAUAUUUUUGGUUGGGUUGGUUAUAUGAUGUACUGCUGAAAUGUUGAAUUACCACUACGUGUACUGUGAUAAUCUUUUCUACUUAAUUAGGAAUACAACACUGGAAAUAAUAUUGGUAACAAAAUGUCUUGGCACUGCAUCGUCGUUAUCCCUAGCCUCAGGUUGGCUUAUGCUUGCUGCUAAUGUGAUCGCUGAUUUAUAUUGUUUAUAUAGACUACAUUUGAGUCCA